Molecule: long non-coding RNA, 843 nt
Organism: Drosophila albomicans
Lineage: Eukaryota; Metazoa; Arthropoda; Insecta; Diptera; Drosophilidae
Exons: 3
Source: RefSeq, a predicted model, not a curated record
AAAUCUAUGCUUUGCUCCAACAAUCACACUUUACAAUUACAACUGUCGCGUGUAUGUUCACACACACAAACAUACAUCUACACAUGUUUAUUGGUGUGUAGGUGCCGCAUAUUAAUAAGCCGGGCGCGGGCGCAGAUUUAUAAAGCACACACAUACAGAUACAGACAUACGCACCACACUUAAAAUUCUACGAGAUUUCUUAUUUUCAUCCACAUUCACUUAACCAUCCAUCUGUGUCCAUAUGUAUGUAUGUGUACUCCUGGCUUGCGCCCGUGACGUCACAUUUAGUAUGCUGCCCACGAUCGAAAAUACGAUAAUUACAAAUUAAUAUUGAUCAAACGAUAUAGUAAAUGGAUUGAUAAAUCUGUUCAUUCACCUCGGUGAAAUUACAGGAAGAACGUUGAUCAACAAUAGAAUGAAUAUUUGCAAGCAAAAAAAGAACAUGAUCUGCAUACCAAGCUUCAAUUGGUCGUGUGCCUUGCUUUGUAUGGGUUAAGCGUGGCUUUGUUGUAACUGUAAGUGCGUGUGUGCGUUGAACAGUGGUUCGCAUAUUAUUUGACACGUAUCAGCGAACUUUAAUUUGACACUUGUUAAGCAGCAAAUAAUUUGUGUGUCACUGUGUAUGCAUAUGCGGGAUAAAUUUGGGCAAAUGAAUACGCAAGUACAUUACGAAUACAGUGAAAGCUCCAUAGCGAACACCCCUUUUGAGCGGAUUCGUUCUUCAAAAUAAAAUUUAUUGAAAACAUAAAAAACAAUGUCUACAGAACUACGAUUAUUUCUGAUGUAUGUAUAAAAAUCAUUUCAAUAUUAAAACUGACUAAAAUUGAUUAAAGUGGAGUGCCC